AUUGAACGCUGGCGGCAGGCCUAACACAUGCAAGUCGAGCGAGCGGCGGACGGGUGAGUAAUGUAUGGGGACUGCCCGUUAGAGGGGGAGUACUACUGGAAACGGUGGCUAAUACCGCAUACUGUGGAAUGAACCAUAUGGGAUUAGCUGGUGGGUAAGGUAAUGGCUUACCUAGGCGACGAUCCCUAGCGGGCCUGAGAGGAUGAUCAGCCACACUGGGACUGAGACACGGCCCAGAUUCCUACGGAGGCAGCAGUGGGGAAUAUUGCACAAUGGGCGCAAGCCUGAUGCAGCCAUGCCGCGUGUAUGAUGAAGGCCUUAGGGUUGUAAAGUACUUUCAGUCGGGAGGCGUUACCGACAGAAGAAGCCCCGGCUAACUCCGUGCCAGCAGCCGCGGUAAUAC
This 403-nucleotide ribosomal RNA is filed under the name uncultured bacterium. RNAcentral describes it as "partial 16S ribosomal RNA". It matches the Rfam family "Bacterial small subunit ribosomal RNA", at positions 30 to 526 of the family's 1533-position model. The record is from RNAcentral.